Molecule: long non-coding RNA, 576 nt
Organism: Ictalurus punctatus (channel catfish)
Lineage: Eukaryota; Metazoa; Chordata; Actinopteri; Siluriformes; Ictaluridae
Source: Ensembl
CCGACCUUAUUGAUCUGCCAAAGCCAUACCCCGAGCAGGGUCAAUAGGGUAGUUCACUUAUCCUGCCACACACACACACACACACACACACACACACACACACACACACACACACACACACACACACACACACACACACUGUCAUUAAUUUUGGGAAGACACUGUCAGUAUCUGUCUACGCAAGCUCUCUGGAACUGCCUGUGCAGUAACUUUGUGCAGCAUCAUGGAGGUCACCCCAUCUGUGCCAGAUAGUGUGGUGUCUUAAUGCACAUCACCUUCUAACCAAUCAGAAUCCAGUAUUGAGACUGACCAUGGACUCGGCGGUGAUGAAACAGACUCUGCUUGCCUGUGAGUGGGUGGAGGAGAACAGACCCCACUUUGCUGGGAAAGUUCACUUACCACGGAUCAUGAGGAUGAACGAGGAUGAUGCCUUGUUGGCCAUCACAAUGCAGGACCUGCUUAUCAACACUAUUUUUUAUGAAAGUGAAAUGAAGAGAAAAUCCGGGCUCCCUUCCUUUUCACCUUCGAGAGAUUAGAGGACAUGGAGUUUUUCAUGCAGGAAAUAUACGAUAAAAG